GGAUCUAUUUUAUGCGAGUGUUGGGUGUUAAACCCAUGCGCGGAAUGAAAGUGAACGGAGGUGGGAACCCUUAAGGGCGCACCAUCGACCGAUCCGGAAGUUUACGGAUGGAUUUGAGUAAGAGCAUAACUAUUGGGACCCGAAAGAUGGUGAACUAUGCCUGAAUAGGGUGAAGCCAGGGGAAACCCUGGUGGAGGCUCGCAGCGGUUCUGACGUGCAAAUCGAUCGUCAAAUUUGGGUAUAGGGGCGAAAGACUAAUCGAACCAUCUAGUAGCUGGUUCCUGNCGAACUUUCCCUCAGGAUAGCAGUAACGNUUUCAGUUUUAUGAGGUAAAGCGAAUGAUUAGAGGCCUUAGGGAUGAAACAUCCUUAACCUAUUCUCAAACUUUAAAUAUGUAAGAAGUCCUUGUUACUUAGUUGAACGUGGACAUUUGAAUGUACCGUUACUAGUGGGCCAUUUUUGGUAAGCAGAACUGGCGAUGCGGGAUGAACCGAACGCGAGGUUAAGGUGCCGGAAUGCACGCUCAUCAGACACCACAAAAGGUGUUAAUUCAUCCAGACAGCAGGACGGUGGCCAUGGAAGUCGGAAUCCGUUAAGGAGUGNGUAACAACUCACCUGCCGAAUGAAUUAGCCCUGAAAAUGGAUGGCGCUCAAGCGUGCUACCCAUACCUCGCCGCCAGGGUAGAAACGAUGCCCUGGCGAGUAGGCAGGCGUGGAGGUCCGUGACGAAGCCUUGGGAGUGAUCCCGGGUAGAACGGCCUCUAGUGCAGAUUCUUGGUGGU
Molecule: ribosomal RNA, 782 nt
Filed under: Physcia tenella
Lineage: Eukaryota; Fungi; Ascomycota; Lecanoromycetes; Caliciales; Physciaceae
Description: eukaryotic LSU rRNA
Rfam family: Eukaryotic large subunit ribosomal RNA
Source: RNAcentral